Molecule: ribosomal RNA, 774 nt
Filed under: uncultured Neocallimastigales
Lineage: Eukaryota; Fungi; Neocallimastigomycota; Neocallimastigomycetes; Neocallimastigales
Description: partial large subunit ribosomal RNA
Rfam family: Eukaryotic large subunit ribosomal RNA
Source: RNAcentral
UCAGACGAUGCGUCAUGCAUAUCAAUAAGCGGAGGAAAAGAAACUAACAAGGAUUCCCUUAGUAACGGCGAGUGAAGCGGGAAGAGCUCAAAUUUGAAAUCUUCAAGGUUUUACCUUGACGAAUUGUAGUUUAAAGAAGUGUUUUCUGUUGAAGUUUUGGUAAAAGUUCUUUGGAAUAGGACAUCAUAGAGGGUGAGAAUCCCGUAUUUGACCAUUAUUUUCAGCUGUGUGAUACACUUUCAAAGAGUCGGAUUGUUCGGGAAUGCAGUCCAAAAUGGGUGGUAAAUUUCAUCUAAAGCUAAAUAUUGGCGAGAGACCGAUAGCGAACAAGUACCGUGAGGGAAAGAUGAAAAGAACUUUGAAAAGAGAGUUAAACAGUACGUGAAAUUGUCAAAAGGGAAGCGUUUGACACCAGUGUUGUUUUCUCGAAAAUCAAUUAAAAAGAGUUAGAUUUUGUUGUGUAUUGACCUUAACAGCUUGCAUUUCAAUUUUCUUGCUUUUUUUAAUGCACUUUUCGUUUAACAAGUCAACAUCAGUUUCUUUUGUUGUAAAAAGGUCAUUGGAAGGUGGCUUUCUUUUCGGAGAAAGUGUUUAUAGCCUUUGACUCCUGCAAUCGGAGAGACUGAGGUCUGCAGCGUAGAUCCUUCGGGGUUAGAUACAUUUGUGCUAAGUUAUAGCUUUUUAUAGACAACUUGUUGACUAUGAUUAGUCUUGUAGCUUACUCGCUUAUGCUAUUUUACCUACGCUUAGGAUGUUGAGUCGUAGAGCACGCAG